CAAUAGCGUAUACUAAAGUUGUUGCGAUUAAAAAGCUCGUAGUUGGAUCUCAGGCAUGGGCGCACGGUCCGCCUCGCGGCGGUCACUGUGUGUUUUGUUUCCCAUCCUACGCUUCCCGGUUAUCAGCCCAUGGUGCUCUUCACUGAGCGGUUUGGGUGGCCGGAACGUUUACUUUGAAGAAAUUAGAGUGUUCAAAGCAGGCACGUCGCCUGAAUAAUGGUGCAUGGAAUAAUGGAAUAGGACCUCGGUUCUAUUUUGCUGGUUUUCGGAACACGAGGUAAUGAUUAAGAGGGACAGACGGGGGCAUCCGUAUUGCGGUGUUAGAGGUGAAAUUCUUGGAUCAUCGCAAGACGAACAACUGCGAAAGCAUUUGCCAAGCAUGUUUUCAUUAG
RNAcentral lists this ribosomal RNA (392 nucleotides) under uncultured eukaryote. RNAcentral's name for it is "partial 18S ribosomal RNA". It matches the Rfam family "Eukaryotic small subunit ribosomal RNA", at positions 592 to 976 of the family's 1831-position model. The record is from RNAcentral.